RNAcentral lists this ribosomal RNA (248 nucleotides) under uncultured Lachnospiraceae bacterium. Its description in RNAcentral is "partial 16S ribosomal RNA". It matches the Rfam family "Bacterial small subunit ribosomal RNA", at positions 524 to 771 of the family's 1533-position model. The record is from RNAcentral. Lineage: Bacteria; Bacillati; Bacillota; Clostridia; Lachnospirales; Lachnospiraceae.
UACGUAGGGGGCGAGCGUUAUCCGGAUUUACUGGGUGUAAAGGGAGCGUAGACGGCCGUGCAAGUCAGGAGUGAAAGCCCGCGGCUCAACUGCGGGACUGCUCUUGAGACUGUAUGGCUGGAGUGCAGGAGAGGUGAGUGGAAUUCCUAGUGUAGCGGUGAAAUGCGUAGAUAUUAGGAGGAACACCAGUGGCGAAGGCGGCUCACUGGACUGUGACUGACGUUGAGGCUCGAAAGCGUGGGGAGCAA